GCAGUGAAGAUGCUGUGUACCCGCACCUAGACGGAAAGACCCCGUGAACCUUUACUACAGCUUGGCACUGAACAUUGAACCUACAUGUGUAGGAUAGGUGGGAGGCUUUGAAGCACAGUCGCUAGAUUGUGUGGAGCCGUCCUUGAAAUACCACCCUUGUAUGUUUGAUGUUCUAACAUUGACCCCUUAUCGGGGUUGUGGACAGUGUCUGGUGGGUAGUUUGACUGGGGCGGUCUCCUCCCAAAG
RNAcentral lists this ribosomal RNA (246 nucleotides) under Alexandrium margalefii. RNAcentral's name for it is "partial Bacterial large subunit ribosomal RNA". It matches the Rfam family "Bacterial large subunit ribosomal RNA", at positions 2050 to 2295 of the family's 2925-position model. The record is from RNAcentral. Lineage: Eukaryota; Dinophyceae; Gonyaulacales; Pyrocystaceae.